CCUACGGGUGGCAGCAGUGAGGAAUAUUGGUCAAUGGACGAGAGUCUGAACCAGCCAAGUAGCGUGAAGGAUGACUGCCCUAUGGGUUGUAAACUUCUUUUAUAUGGGAAUAAAAUGUUCCACGUGUGGGAUUUUGUAUGUACCAUAUGAAUAAGGAUCGGCUAACUCCGUGCCAGCAGCCGCGGUAAUACGGAGGAUCCGAGCGUUAUCCGGAUUUAUUGGGUUUAAAGGGAGCGUAGGUGGAUUGUUAAGUCAGUUGUGAAAGUUUGCGGCUCAACCGUAAAAUUGCAGUUGAAACUGGCAGUCUUGAAUACAGUAGAGGUGGGCGGAAUUCGUGGUGUAGCGGUGAAAUGCUUAGAUAUCACGAAGAACUCCGAUUGCGAAGGCAGUUCACUGGACUGCAACUGACACUGAGGCUCGAAAGUGUGGGUAUCAAACAGGAUUAGAUACCCGUGUAGUC
RNAcentral lists this ribosomal RNA (460 nucleotides) under uncultured bacterium. RNAcentral describes it as "partial 16S ribosomal RNA". It matches the Rfam family "Bacterial small subunit ribosomal RNA", at positions 338 to 795 of the family's 1533-position model. The record is from RNAcentral.